Molecule: transfer RNA, 65 nt
Filed under: Artemia sorgeloosi
Lineage: Eukaryota; Metazoa; Arthropoda; Branchiopoda; Anostraca; Artemiidae
Description: tRNA-Trp
Rfam family: tRNA
About the family: Transfer RNA (tRNA) molecules are approximately 80 nucleotides in length. Their secondary structure includes four short double-helical elements and three loops (D, anti-codon, and T loops).
Source: RNAcentral
UAGAGCUUUAAGUUAAUUAAACUACCAGCCUUCAAAGCCGGAAAUAAGAGAUUCUUAAGCUUUAA